Long non-coding RNA from Lates calcarifer (barramundi perch), 959 nucleotides. RefSeq lists it as uncharacterized. The record is from RefSeq and is a predicted model, not a curated record. NCBI's taxonomy places the organism in Eukaryota, Metazoa, Chordata, Actinopteri, Centropomidae. The transcript has 3 exons.
AACAUGAGGCACAAGCCAGAGGAGAGUAUGAGAAGCUGAUGGGUCUGGAGCACAAGGGCUUCACCUGUAUGGAGAAUGGUCUCUGGCUGUAGUGGAAGGCUCACCUGAUGGGACCGUCACCUGUGACCAUAAUGGACUUACAGAUAAAGGACUCAAACGUCAUCCGGCAGAAACAGACAUGACAUUACACCAGGUCAGUGUUAGUUUAUUAUUUUCUUUCUGACUCUGUCAUUAUCUCAGCUGCAGUUAAAACCUGAUGUCUGGAACAAAAAUCACAAACAUCCCAAAGAAGUUUAAAACCUUUCAGUGUACGUUUGUUAAGUUUAAUUGGCAUUAAAGUUGUAUGCUUUUUAUUAUGUUUGUAUCAGUUAGAUUAUUACACUUGUUUAGGACUGAAUCUACAUUUUUAUAUUUAAAAUUUAAAAACACCAGGUAUUUUUUUUCUAUAGUGCAUAUUUAAUUUAGCACCUGCAAAUAGUUCAUGUUGUUGUUGGUUCUUCAGGAGUUGAUGACACUAAACUGGUCAUUUUCUAAAACAGCCCUCUGUUUAUUAAAUGUUCUGGUGUAGCUGUAAUAUUGAAUAUUUAUCUGUGUUUUCAUGGUUAAACUGUUGAUGAGGAAUAGGUAGUACUAUAUUGAUCAUUUUCCUUUGUAUGUAUCUCUUUGAUUUCCUCUAAGUGUCACCACUUCGUCCAUGACAUUGUCCAUGAUCAGAGACAUUGUCUGCGAUCACAGAGAAUCUUUGUACAAUGAAGAAGUUCUUUGAGACCAGGACAGAGGCCUCCAGGAGGAGAAGAUCGCGUCACCUGAAGAGGACAACAAAAGUAGUUAAAUGUUAUUAAAGAUGUUUAAAGAUGUAUAAAUCUUUAAGAUUAAGUUUAUCCACAUGUUCCUCACUACAUUAAAUGUGGGGUGUGAGAAUAAAAAAAUGUGUUCAAGUGCUCAAAUGUUUGUCAUUU